AUGAACGCUGGCGGCGUGCCUAAUACAUGCAAGUCGAGCGAACGGACGAGAAGCUUGCUUCUCUGAUGUUAGCGGCGGACGGGUGAGUAACACGUGGAUAACCUACCUAUAAGACUGGGAUAACUUCGGGAAACCGGAGCUAAUACCGGAUAAUAUUUUGAACCGCAUGGUUCAAAAGUGAAAGACGGUCUUGCUGUCACUUAUAGAUGGAUCCGCGCUGCAUUAGCUAGUUGGUAAGGUAACGGCUUACCAAGGCAACGAUGCAUAGCCGACCUGAGAGGGUGAUCGGCCACACUGGAACUGAGACACGGUCCAGACUCCUACGGGAGGCAGCAGUAGGGAAUCUUCCGCAAUGGGCGAAAGCCUGACGGAGCAACGCCGCGUGAGUGAUGAAGGUCUUCGGAUCGUAAAACUCUGUUAUUAGGGAAGAACAUAUGUGUAAGUAACUGUGCACAUCUUGACGGAACCUAAUCAGAAAGCCACGGCUAACUACGUG
This 496-nucleotide ribosomal RNA is filed under the name uncultured bacterium. RNAcentral describes it as "partial 16S ribosomal RNA". It matches the Rfam family "Bacterial small subunit ribosomal RNA", at positions 29 to 507 of the family's 1533-position model. The record is from RNAcentral.